CGCACCUUGCGCUCCCUGGUAUUCCUAGGAGCAUGCCUGUUUGAGUGUCGUGAACAUAUCAACCCCAUAAAGAUUUUGGUCUCUAUGGUGGCUUGGAUUUGGGGGCUUGCUGGCCAUUAAUUUGGUCGGCUCUCCUUAAAUGCAUUAGCUUUGGACUUGUUCUGUAGGCUGCUCGGCGUGAUAAUUAUCUACGCUUUGCAAUCGUCUGUGGAAUAUUAUGGGUCUAGCUUCUAAUCGUCCUCUGGACAACCUUCAUUCAUUUUGACCUCAAAUCAGGUAGGACUACCCGCUGAACUUAA
RNAcentral lists this unclassified non-coding RNA (299 nucleotides) under Peniophorella praetermissa. Its description in RNAcentral is "partial contains 5.8S ribosomal RNA, internal transcribed spacer 2, and large subunit ribosomal RNA". Lineage: Eukaryota; Fungi; Basidiomycota; Agaricomycetes; Hymenochaetales. The record is from RNAcentral.